RNAcentral lists this ribosomal RNA (495 nucleotides) under uncultured bacterium. Its description in RNAcentral is "partial 16S ribosomal RNA". It matches the Rfam family "Bacterial small subunit ribosomal RNA", at positions 28 to 507 of the family's 1533-position model. The record is from RNAcentral.
GACGAACGCUGGCGGCGUGCCUAAUACAUGCAAGUAGAACGCUGAAGGAGGAGCUUGCUUCUCUGGAUGAGUUGCGAACGGGUGAGUAACGCGUAGGUAACCUGCCUGGUAGCGGGGGAUAACUAUUGGAAACGAUAGCUAAUACCGCAUAAUAGCAGUUGUUGCAUGACAACUGUUUGAAAGGUGCAAUUGCACCACUACCAGAUGGACCUGCGUUGUAUUAGCUAGUUGGUGGGGUAACGGCUCACCAAGGCGACGAUACAUAGCCGACCUGAGAGGGUGAUCGGCCACACUGGGACGGAGACACGGCCCAGACUCCUACGGGAGGCAGCAGUAGGGAAUCUUCGGCAAUGGACGGAAGUCUGACCGAGCAACGCCGCGUGAGUGAAGAAGGUUUUCGGAUCGUAAAGCUCUGUUGUAAGAGAAGAACGAGUGUGAGAGUGGAAAGUUCACACUGUGACGGUAUCUUACCAGAAAGGGACGGCUAACUACGUG